Molecule: non-coding RNA, 889 nt
Organism: Cinara cedri
Lineage: Eukaryota; Metazoa; Arthropoda; Insecta; Hemiptera; Aphididae
Source: the annotation of a GenBank genome assembly
CGUAGAAUGUAUUGGUUUUAUUAGGAUUUUUUUUUUAUACUGUGUACAUAAAUUCGAUUAGAAACCUUGCUCAGAUAUAUACACACGGCUCCAUUUUUGAAAGAGUAUUGUGUCCAGAUGGGACUUUUAAGAGGCCAUUUUUUGAUGUUCCAAGCGGUUUUCAUAAUAUCUGGGAAAAACCAGGAUAAAAGGAAAAAACCAAGAAAUGUAGUAAAAUAAUGCUUUUAUUAUUCUUUAAUUUUGUAAAUUGUUGUAAUUGAGUUAACCAUAUUCGUUAUGAAUUGAAAUUUAGACAGAAAACCUAUAUUUGUCUUUUCUAGACGUGGUCAAAUUUUGGAAACAUUUUUGCCAUUUUUAAGCUUUUUAUAAACAUUUUAAUAUUUUUGUUGAAAUUAAGUUAAAAAUAUUUCUAUCAACUCAAUGGACUUAAAAUUUGAGUCGAAUCGUCGAGUAAAAAGUUAUGCGGAACAAAUAAUAUUUUUCAUUUUUUUUUUUCACAUAUGUAUAUUGACGAUUUCAGAACGAUGAAAUAGUCAAAAUUAAGGGGGCUGACUAAGUUUCGAAAUUAUAGCUUUUUGAAGUUCUGAUAUUAUGCGGACAUUAUAUGUUAUGUUAAGCAACUAAAUGUUGUCAUCACUAUAGUUUGUUAGUUGUAUCUGAAUGGUUAGAUAUACCUAUUAUUAUACCUGGAGGUCCUGGGUUCGAAUUUUUAAAUAAAAUAAUUCGAUUCAUUUUUAGACUUUGGAAUAACUAAAAAAACUUAACAUAACUAUAAAAAACAAAAUACUGUUUCCAGAUAAAUAAUUUUGAACUUUAAUAUGUUAUUUCAAAAACUUCAUAAAGUUAAUGGAAUUAAAAAAAAACAGUUAAAAACUGUUUCACCAAUAUA